GGGAGGGACUGAAGGAAAAUUUAUUGUUUGGAACAACUUAAAAGGAAAUAUUAUUUCAGAUGUUUAUAACAUAUGUCCCUGGCAUGUUUUCAUGCAAUUGAAACGCAAGGUGCUUGUUUAUUUCCCCGUGGUCCUGGGUAGCGUCUUCUUUCAGAGGUCAGAAAAUCAUUAGACGGAGCUAUUUUGCAAAUGCAGUCCCUAUGCAACCUUUUUCUACGAAACUGGAGAAAUAGCAAGACAAUAAAAAAUAGAAUGUUGUGCUUCUUAUU
Molecule: unclassified non-coding RNA, 269 nt
Filed under: Hevea brasiliensis (rubber tree)
Lineage: Eukaryota; Viridiplantae; Streptophyta; Magnoliopsida; Malpighiales; Euphorbiaceae
Source: RNAcentral